CCUACGGGUGGCAGCAGUAGGGAAUAUUGCUCAAUGGGGGAAACCCUGAAGCAGCAACGCCGCGUGGAGGAUGAAGGUUUUCGGAUUGUAAACUCCUUUUGUUAGAGAAGAUAAUGACGGUAUCUAACGAAUAAGCACCGGCUAACUCCGUGCCAGCAGCCGCGGUAAUACGGAGGGUGCAAGCGUUACUCGGAAUCACUGGGCGUAAAGAGCGCGUAGGCGGGAUAGCAAGUCAGGUGUGAAAUCCUAUGGCUUAACCAUAGAACUGCAUUUGAAACUGUUAUUCUAGAGAAUGGGAGAGGUAGGUGGAAUUCUUGGUGUAGGGGUAAAAUCCAUAGAGAUCAAGAGGAAUACUCAUUGCGAAGGCGACCUGCUAGAACAUAACUGACGCUGAUGCGCGAAAGCGUGGGGAGCAAACAGGAUUAGAUACCCGGGUAGUC
Molecule: ribosomal RNA, 440 nt
Filed under: uncultured bacterium
Lineage: Bacteria
Description: partial 16S ribosomal RNA
Rfam family: Bacterial small subunit ribosomal RNA
Source: RNAcentral